Non-coding RNA from Coturnix japonica (Japanese quail), 3753 nucleotides. NCBI's taxonomy places the organism in Eukaryota, Metazoa, Chordata, Aves, Galliformes, Phasianidae. The record is from RefSeq and is a predicted model, not a curated record.
UAAGACCAGAUUGCACAACAUGAACAUACAUAACACUUACAAAUCAACUGUGUUGGAUGGUGUCCCCUCCUUCUCCUUUCUCAGGGAUGGAUAUUUAUGUUACACAAUAACUACAAUGAAGACACACCCUUAACCGCAGCCUUACUCUGUAAAUAUAUUUGCACUCAGAAGUGUUUUGUUGGGUUCUUUCACACACUGGGGAAAAAAAAAGCAGACAAUACAAAAACCAAACCAGUACUGGAAUGUAGUACCAGACUCUUCUAUUGUUUGUAUUCCUGGCUAUACAUCGACACUGGGGAGCCUCCAAGCAGGAUCUUUCUUGAAACUGCUCUCUGCUUUUGACAGCAAUCCACCUUGUCACGCCGCGCUGGAGAGGCUCCCAAACUGACUUCCUAUUCCAAAAAUCACCAUGAAAUUGAUAAACGACUACUUAUUUUUGCUUGUUUUAUGCCAGAUAAAAUUCUGAGCAAAUAAUUCUAAACAAGAUGCCUUACGUAAAUAACCUAAAUCACGAGGAAACGCGUUUACACUGGGUAACACUGUAUUACAAAGUGGCACGGAAUCUCAGAGGCAUUCUUUUUUCUCCAAGUACUUAAGAUCUCUGCACUGCAGAGCAGCAGGGACCAGCAGAACACAAAACCAAACCACGCUGACUUGAAUGAUUUCCUUUAUCCUUUUCUUAAAAAUUACUUGUUUUAAACAAGCUACAGGAAUACAGUAACAACCAAUGCCCAUCACUGGUUUAUCAAGGUACUUACCUACUGUACAGUUGUGUCUUAGAAAGAUAAAUUGCUUAAGACAGCCUCUGUUUCCUGUUGUAUCGCAAUCAUGGUCACUGAUAAAAGGAAAAUUACAAGGUAUUCUGACUAGAAAAAUAAAAUAUGCCUUUAAAAGUGUUGCAAAAACAACAAAAAAGGCAUUUUAACUCUCCUUAAAGUUUCUUAAAAACACACAUAUCAGUGUAAAGAAAGGCUCUGUUAUUUCUGAAUAUCUGCUUAAAAGACAAAGAGAAUCUUAGCUGUUUGGGCAUAAGACAGAGCACAAGGAAGUUGACCUUCAUCGUGUUUUGUAUGAUAGGAAGUACAGCAAAAAAACCAGAGCACUGUGAUGUCCUAGAGACACGGCUUUGUUUUGGCUGGUUCUGAUGGUGCAUUCUAUAAAUCAGUCUUUUUUAUUCUGGAAUUUUGGGUGUUUUCUUGUUUUUACUGUAUAUUCUAAAAUGCAGGUGAGUGUAGCACGAUGAAACAAAACUCUCUAUGCCAAACAUGCCAUUUGAUAUCAAGUUAAUGCUUACCCAUUCCAAAUGAGCGCAUAUCUUACUUGCUAGCUUGCGUCAAUCCAAUUCUGCGAGUUUUUUUUGUACUGUAUAUUAACUGUGAGAGGCUAAUAUAGAUUCCUGAAUAGCUUCAUGGGUACUUCCAUAAUAUAUAUGUUAUUCCUAAUACUAUAAUUGUAUGCAUAAAUUUACAGACAGUUCAAAGUGCAGAUAUUUCAGUAUUUUCUCAUGUUCAUUUGCCUCAGAUUUCACCUCCAGAAAAUCAUAAUUUCCCCUUCUGAAUUGGAAGUCAUGCUAGACACAGUUCUACUACUGCAUUUACAGACAAUGAAGGAACAGGGUUCUUUUGCAAAACAAGCAUUGCUGGAUGUCUGGGAUGAGCUGCCUAACCACUGUACAUAGUAGGGGAAAGUCUGAUUGUUUUACCUCGAGAGAUCUCUGUUUUUAAAUCUCAGCCACUGAGAUUUUAAAAAUGCAAAAACUUUAUACUAUUCAGAUGUGCGACCUGAUCUGGUCUUAUCACCCAGCAGCUGGCACUGCACACUCAGGAAGUAACUGCUGUGGGAAGGUGUGAAUUUUUUCCUACUCCUCAUUGCAAUCCCUGUGCAAUCUGUUGAGGUGCAUCCUCACAAACUAUUAAAUUGCCUUAAUUAUUAUUAUUUUUUUCUUUUAAUUUCAGAACCCAGGAACAGGUUUAUUAAUAUUAGCAUUGCAGUACGUGACAACAGACAGAAAUGAAAGGAGUAUUAAUGUCUUCCAGAUGUCUAAGAGAUUGCUUUUUGCUAAUAUAAGACUUGCCCUUAGAAACUCAUUCACCCCUUCCAUUAACCCUAUCCUGUGCCCAGGAUUCCUUUAUCAUCCUCCUUCUCAUAAAGCAGUCCUGGUAAACCACAGGCAGCUAGAUUUUAUUGUGAGAACUCUUUAUAUCUGAAAAUUACUUGUUCCUUGCUUUUGUAAUACAUGCAUAGCAUUUGCUUACAUAACUGCAGAAGUACAUAUUUAUAACCAAGCAUCGGAAGCCUACGUUUGGUAACACCUAAUUCCCAUAUGCAUCCUACCUUGAGUAUUGCAUUAAUAUUUGCCAUAACUUUUAGUUCUGUGAACAUGAGUACACCCUUAAAACCUCAUUACCUUCUUCCCAGAAGUUCAGCGCUUUUCUUGUUUCAUGCAGCCAGACAGGAAAAGGCUGUCUGAGGACCUUACCUGUUUCAAGGUAUUCACAUCCAAACUAGUUUUCCUUCCCAAGAGUUCUAGGAUUUGUACUGUGUGAAAUGCAUUAUUGUUUUGGAGAAUCCAAUUUAUAAAGAAAAAGAAAAAUGAACUCUGCAUACUAAAGCUUGCCUUUCCAUUGCCAUUUGAUUUACUUAUUUCACGAGGUGAUGCCUACAAACUGACUUUCAGGUGCUGUUUUACUCCCUCACACCAUGUGUUCACGCACUGGGUGCUCACACAUGGUCUGUACUAGUGAACUAUAUGAUGAACAUCUAUGUUUUCAACAUUUUGGAAUAUAAUUCUCUCUUUGCUAUGAGAGUGGAGAGGUGCUGGAACAGCUGCCCAGAGAGGCUGUGGAUGCCCGUGGAGAUGUUCAGAUCCAGGCUGGAUGGGGCCCUGGGCAGCCUAGUCUAGUAUUAAAUAUGGAGGUUGGUGGCCUUGCAUGCAGCAGAGCGGCUGGAGCUUGAUGAUCCUUGAGGUCCCUUACAACCCAAGACAUUCUAUGGUUCUAUGGUUCUAUAAAGCUCUAGCCUAAGGCAGUAGAAAAUAACAAAGCUGUACCUGUUUAGCCCAUAAACCAGAAUACAGAAUGCAAAAACCCAUCCACUAGUAUAUGAUUUUUUUUUUUUGUAUGGAUUUUUUAAGUGUAUGCACUUAAGUGUAUAGUAUGUGUGUGUACACCUACACAGCAGUGUGUAUGCACUACACACAGAAUAAUGAAGGGAUGUCUACAGAGCAAAAAUGGGUAUCCAUUUCAUUCUAACUAGCGAUGGGUCUGAACCAAAAUCCUAGAUCCAAACACCACUGCCUUUGGAAAGUUUGAAUCUGGAUUGGGUUGGGUUUGUCUUGAGAUUUGUGGUUUAGUUUCACCUCUGGUUACAGCUGUUGUUCCUUACAUGUAUGCGCAUUGUGGGGGACUCGUGUGCAUGUGCACAUGUGCUUAUUCAUGUGUGCCUGACUCUGUGGGUGACAAUGUGCGUGCCAGUAAGUCUGCACAUGUUUACAUAUGUACUUUCAGAUCUGGGGAACUGUAAUGAUACUGGUGUCAUCUUCUUCUCCUGGACGGUUCUGUCUACAGCACAUGAAUACUUCCGUGGGUCACUUUCAACUCUAUAAAUCACUACAUUGAAGUAUUACAGUUGUACAGUUAUAUAUUUCAUCUAUACUUGCUCUGCUGUAACUUUUUAUGUAUUUUGUACUGCAUAGAUUAUAUAUUGUGAUAAUGUCUAUACAACAACAGUAAAAAAAAAAAAAGGAAAAAGGAA